This is a non-coding RNA of Marasmius tenuissimus, 93 nucleotides long. NCBI's taxonomy places the organism in Eukaryota, Fungi, Basidiomycota, Agaricomycetes, Agaricales, Marasmiaceae. The record is from the annotation of a GenBank genome assembly.
GGCCUGAUGGUCUAGUAGUAUGAUUCCUUGUUAGGGUGUUCCCUGCUGCACCGCAUUUCGAGGAGGUCCCGGGUUCAAUUCCCGGUCAGGCCC